AUUGAACGCUGGCGGAAUGCUUUACACAUGCAAGUCGAACGGCAGCACGGACUUCGGUCUGGUGGCGAGUGGCGAACGGGUGAGUAAUGUAUCGGGACGUGCCCAGUCGUGGGGGAUAACGUAGUGAAAAUUACGCUAAUACCGCAUACGAUCUAUGGAUGAAAGCGGGGGAUCGCAAGACCUCGCGCGAUUGGAGCGGCCGAUAUCAGAUUAGGUAGUUGGUGGGGUAAAGGCCCACCAAGCCAACGAUCUGUAGCUGGUCUGAGAGGACGACCAGCAACACUGGAACUGAGACACGGUCCAGACUCCUACGGGAGGCAGCAGUGGGGAAUUUUGGACAAUGGGCGAAAGCCUGAUCCAGCCAUUCCGCGUGCAGGAUGAAGGCCCUCGGGUUGUAAUCUGCUUUUGUACAGAACGAAAAGGUUUCUACUAAUACUAGGAGCUCAUGACGGUACUGUAAGAAUAAGCACCGGCUAACUACGUGCCAGCAGCCGCGGUAA
RNAcentral lists this ribosomal RNA (500 nucleotides) under uncultured bacterium. RNAcentral describes it as "partial 16S ribosomal RNA". It matches the Rfam family "Bacterial small subunit ribosomal RNA", at positions 30 to 523 of the family's 1533-position model. The record is from RNAcentral.